This is a long non-coding RNA of Planococcus citri (citrus mealybug), 635 nucleotides long. RefSeq lists it as uncharacterized. NCBI's taxonomy places the organism in Eukaryota, Metazoa, Arthropoda, Insecta, Hemiptera, Pseudococcidae. The transcript has 5 exons. The record is from RefSeq and is a predicted model, not a curated record.
UUUCUACUCGGUAACGCCGACAUUGUUCGAAGUAUGUGAUUAUUUCAACAUGCAAGUAAUAGUCGAAAAGCACGCCUGAAUCAGUCGGUGCAGGAUUAUUUUGUCAUUUGUCUGCGCGUUAUCAAUAUUUUGGAUACCGGAAUUGUUCGACGUGAUUACUACAUUAAUGAUGAAAUAAUGAAACAAAAUUUCCACACAACAACAUUCAUUCCUCAAACACGGUCCUUUUGACUGAACUUAACUCAAAAAGCUCCCUUUCCGGUCAGCGUGUUCGACGAAGCGAGAUUAUUUUUAGAAAAAGCAAUCGUUAAUCGUUCAUCUGCAGAGUUUAUCAAAAAAAUCUACAUGGAAAACUCGUAGAAUAAUCGAAGAAAGGCUAAAAAAUCGAGUUGAAUCGAAACACUCAUUGCUGUUCGUGUGCCAAGUGACAAGUUCCAACGUUUUCCAGAAAAUAUUACAAAUGGAAUAAAAAUAAGAAAAAAUUAACGAAGAAACCAAUUGGUUCCCGAAUCUCGAGGUACCUACGACCUAUUAUUGGCGCUUGAUUUAAUGAGCAGGAAGCUAACGUAAGCCAACCAACUUAUAUGAACAAGGUGAAAUCCAAUGAUCAGAUAUCUAAUCUACCUACUUCAAAA